GAUGACCUCUGGCGGCGUGCUUAACACAUGCAAGUCGAACGAAGCACUCUAUUUGAUUUUCUUCGGAAAUGAAGAUUUUGUGACUGAGUGGCGGACGGGUGAGUAACGCGUGGGUAACCUGCCUCAUACAGGGGGAUAACAGUUGGAAACGACUGCUAAUACCGCAUAAGCGCACAGGAUUGCAUGAUCCGGUGUGAAAAACUCCGGUGGUAUGAGAUGGACCCGCGUCUGAUUAGCUAGUUGGCAGGGUAACGGCCUACCAAAGCGACGAUCAGUAGCCGACCUGAGAGGGUGACCGGCCACAUUGGGACUGAGACACGGCCCAAACUCCUACGGGAGGCAGCAGUGGGGAAUAUUGCACAAUGGGGGAAACCCUGAUGCAGCGACGCCGCGUGAGCGAAGAAGUAUUUCGGUAUGUAAAGCUCUAUCAGCAGGGAAGAAGAAUGACGGUACCUGACUAAGAAGCACCGGCUAAAUACGUGCCAGCAGCCGCGGUAAUACGUAUGGUGCAAGCGUUAUCCGGAUUUACUGGGUGUAAAGGGAGCGCAGGCGGUGCGGCAAGUCUGAUGUGAAAGCCCGGGGCUCAACCCCGGUACUGCAUUGGAAACUGUCGUACUAGAGUGUCGGAGGGGUAAGUGGAAUUCCUAGUGUAGCGGUGAAAUGCGUAGAUAUUAGGAGGAACACCAGUGGCGAAGGCGGCUUACUGGACGAUAACUGACGCUGAGGCUCGAAAGCGUGGGGAGCAAACAGGAUUAGAUACCCUGGUAGUCCACGCCGUAAACG
Molecule: ribosomal RNA, 783 nt
Filed under: uncultured bacterium
Lineage: Bacteria
Description: bacterial SSU rRNA
Rfam family: Bacterial small subunit ribosomal RNA
Source: RNAcentral